GUGCUUGCUUUGGCAUCACAUAGAUUAAAAUCGGAAUGAUACAGAGAAAAGUUGCAUGGCUCCUGCACAAGGAUGACACACAAACUGAUGAAGCAUUCCAUAUUUUU
Small nuclear RNA from Trichosurus vulpecula (common brushtail), 107 nucleotides. The record is from RefSeq and is a predicted model, not a curated record. NCBI's taxonomy places the organism in Eukaryota, Metazoa, Chordata, Mammalia, Diprotodontia, Phalangeridae.